UCACGGAUGACGUGGCGGACC
Molecule: microRNA, 21 nt
Filed under: Vriesea carinata
Lineage: Eukaryota; Viridiplantae; Streptophyta; Magnoliopsida; Poales; Bromeliaceae
Description: vca-miR10209-3p
Source: miRBase by way of RNAcentral